This is a long non-coding RNA of Cherax quadricarinatus, 1487 nucleotides long. RefSeq lists it as uncharacterized. The record is from RefSeq and is a predicted model, not a curated record. Lineage: Eukaryota; Metazoa; Arthropoda; Malacostraca; Decapoda; Parastacidae.
CAAUAGGACUCAUACAACAGGACUCAUACAACAGGACUCAUACAACAGGACUCAUACAACAGGACUCAUACAACAGGGUUCAUACGGCUCCUGGAAGCCAUGCAGCCCUAAGACCAACAAUAACAACAACAAAGGCUGACUUGAGUUAGCUGGUUAAAAAUUACUGUUUCUAUUAUUACACAAAGAUAAUGCUUAGACGUAACCCUACAAAGAUUGAGUUAAAGCUAGACGACCUCCAAGAGCUAACUAAUAAGCUUAAAGGUGACACUGAAGCUAAGAAAGGCAACGAGAAGCUAGAUGGAACCUCCAACCUGGAAUUGCAGAAAACAAGAAAGGAAAUAAUUGAAGAGAGAAUUGGUUACAAUCCCAGGCCACGUAGACCUAAUUAAGUAUUCUACACUAAAAUGCUGCCGAGAGAAAGCCAGUCAAGUUUGCCAUACCAAAUACUGUUGUACCUUAAUGGCUGGUAUUUGGCAGUCUUCCUGGUUGUGGAGGUGCUAAUAUUUGCCUUCAAGACAUUUGUGUUACCUUAUCCUCCUGGGAACAUUGUGGCAGAAGUGUUCCUUCUUAUCUUCUUUGGUGCCACUGAAUCAGUGAGAAUAUUCAUGGGAAAGAAAGGAAAUCUCACAGAAAGAAUAAUAUCAUUAGUAAUGUCAAUAAUAUUCACAGCCCCCUCAGUUCUUGCCAUGUUGUAUUUGCUACUUUGGCAAACUUAUGUCCUUCGACUAGAAGUUGUAUUGGUAUCUGUUGCAAUUGUAUUUGAGGGAAUUGAACUUUUAUUUGCUUUGUUAGCUGUUGUUACUAUAAGUAAAUCAGGGUGAUGAAUAUUGCUUAUUCCUGCAUCCACAGUCUAUGUUAUUCUGUAUGUCAUUGGGCAACACUGACCAAUUUUGUAACUUGUUACUUUUACUCUAGACAUGAAACUAUAUCCUCUCUUCAUUGGUUAAUUUGUCACAGAUAUUCCUAGUGGUUAUGAAUGACUUAUAGGUUUUUGAUUAAGCCUGUCAGAAAAGACAAUUUAGUUGGAGACUAAUUUUGGUAAUUAAAGGACUGUGAGUAAAAUGCUGUAUUUAUAUAUAUUAAUUUCAGAUAUUUAAAUUUAACAUAGCCUAAUUGAUAAAAGAAGUGUAGAAUUUUGGAGCAAACAUAACUAAGUAAUUAUAAACAUAUUUUUAAGAAACUAAUUUUAUUAGCUCUAGAGUUUGAGUGAUAUUUCAUUGCCUGAGAAAGCUUGGUAUAGUUCUGUAUACCAGAAUCUUUUAAGACAAAACUUUACAUGUUCUUUUGGAAAAUUCUUGUUCAGCCAGGUUGUGAUGGCUAUGUGAGCCCCACAUAGCAAUAACCCGGUUGAUUCAGCUAUCACCAGGGAAGCCUGGCCUGGGGGCCAGGCAGCAAGAACAGAAAAGCACCCAGAAUUGGUCACAGGUAUACCCUCUACCAAAAUGUAUCUCAGUAAAGUCAGUGAAGAGUGAAGUCUUGAAUGUGAA